Molecule: non-coding RNA, 106 nt
Organism: Mycena leptocephala
Lineage: Eukaryota; Fungi; Basidiomycota; Agaricomycetes; Agaricales; Mycenaceae
Source: the annotation of a GenBank genome assembly
GCCUCUGUGGAUGAGUGGUACAUCACCUCAGCUUCAUUCAUAUGAGAUAUAUAACUGUUCUCUGAAGUUCUCUGAAGAGUCCUGGGUUCGAAUCCCACCGGAGGCA